CCUUGAUUAUGUAUAAAUAGAUGUACAAUGAGGGCUUAGUACAAGCCCGUCUUCUAGGUGGCGCCUUGCCCGUUCUGAAUUUUUGUAUUCCCCUACGAUUUUCUUUGAGGGGAAUCCGUUAAACCCGCCCAUCGUUCAAAAAUGGAAGGGCGCGAGGUCACAUCUAUUGGGCCACUUAUUAGCACGUUUCACCCAUGUUUUACGAAAAUAGCUUUAUCCUUGUUUGUUUCAACUGUGACAAGAAAAAAGGAAAAAAAGUUAUAUUCGCUUCUAAAUUCGGCAGUUUUGUUGAUCUUUCUCGACUUGUAAUUUCGUUUCGUUUAGGUUAUGUCUUAUAAAAAUAAAUAUUUAUAAGCUUUUGAAUUGAAAUAUACCUUAAUGCAUAUCUGAGUAAUUAAAAAAUUCAGUUUUUUCGUCCCUCGCGAAGAAACAUAAACAGUAUUUGUGAAAUUUGGAUUAGAAACUAUUAUUUUAUUAGUUUAUUUUGUUGUGUUUAAGUGUUGUGUAUUUGUACCUACUGGAUAAUAUUUUCCAACAUAUUUAAUUAAGCAAAAAGCAUCUGUUUUACAGGUGUGACUGCUAAGUGGUCGUACUCGCCACUUUAACCAAGCAUUGGUGGGACCUUCAGAGAUCAUAAUGCGAAUUUCUUCAUACCAUGUAAAUCUAUAUACAUGUAUUAAUAAAUGCGUUUGCUUUA
This is a long non-coding RNA of Sitophilus oryzae (rice weevil), 697 nucleotides long. RefSeq lists it as uncharacterized. The record is from RefSeq and is a predicted model, not a curated record. The transcript has 2 exons. NCBI's taxonomy places the organism in Eukaryota, Metazoa, Arthropoda, Insecta, Coleoptera, Curculionidae.